AAUCAACGCUGGCGGCGUGCCUAACACAUGCAAGUCGAACGCGAAAGUCCCUUCGGGGGCGAGUAGAGUGGCGUCCGGGUGAGUAACGCGUGGGUAAUCUACCCUUGGGUGGGGAAUAACCAGUCGAAAGACUGGCUAAUACCGCAUAAUGCAGCGGCUCGACAUCGAGACAGUUGUUAAAGCUCUUCGCAAGAAGGGCGCCUGAGGAGGAGCCUGCGUCUGAUUAGCUAGUUGGCGGAGUAAUAGCCCACCAAGGCGACGAUCAGUAGCUGGUCUGAGAGGAUGAUCAGCCACACUGGGACUGAGACACGGCCCAAACUCCUACGGGAGGCAGCAGUGGGGAAUAUUGGACAAUGGGGGCGAACCCUGAUCCAGCAAUGCCGCGUGUGUGAAGAAGGCCUGCGGGUUGUAAAGCACUUUCAGUAGGGAAGAAAAGACCUGGGGCGUAAUACCUCCGGGUCUUGACGUUACCUAAAGAAGAAGCACCGG
This 489-nucleotide ribosomal RNA is filed under the name uncultured bacterium. RNAcentral describes it as "bacterial SSU rRNA". It matches the Rfam family "Bacterial small subunit ribosomal RNA", at positions 32 to 496 of the family's 1533-position model. The record is from RNAcentral.